This 2177-nucleotide long non-coding RNA is filed under the name Sorghum bicolor (sorghum). Its description in RNAcentral is "long non-coding RNA (SBIC_LNC010338)". The record is from RNAcentral. Lineage: Eukaryota; Viridiplantae; Streptophyta; Magnoliopsida; Poales; Poaceae.
GCCCCUGGAGAUCAUACCUCUCCUACAGAAUCAAAGCUAGGGUUUCAAUUCUUCAUCCAAGUAGAGAGGAUCCCUCUAGUUCUUCUAGUUCUAUCUCUAGUUCAUCUAGAUCUAGUUCUAGUUCAUCUAGUUCUAGUUCUAGUUCCUCUAGUUCUAGUUCUAGUUAGUUCUAGUUGUAAUCUAGAAAAUAGGGAGAGAGAAGAGGAGAGCGGAGGAGGAGCCGGAUCUGUCGGAUCUUCCUCAACAUUGUACUUUUGCAGCAACUGGUUCGUUCUUCAUCAUUCUCUAGGUUCUUCAAUUCAUAAUUUCUGAGUUCUUUAAUUACUUUUAUUUACAUUCAAGUUAUUUAUUGGAUUCCCGCUUGCAUCAAGUGCUCUAAUCUUUGAAACAUUAGAGUAGUAAUUAAUAGAUUAGACGUGGUGUUUAGUCUUGCAAUUACCUGGAAUUGCACCCAAUCCUGCGGAUUGUUGUGGUAGCCUUAGGGUAGUGACAGCCCUAAUGGUCGAUGUAUUCCACCUCGUUCGGAUCAGUGUUUGUAGGACCGUAGUCAGACCUUCCUAGCCCCCUUCUUAUCUCUUUCUGUGGUUAGUGCUCUGAUGUCCUAAUAUAAAUAAUCUUUGAAGUAAUUCUUGAUUCUUAGAUCAACUAGAGAACUCUCAGGAAACUUCUUCUCUUUCCACCAAAAAUAAUUAUAUAGUUAUCCUUGGGCGAUCUUGAUUCUUAAUUAGUACACUCACGUUCUCUGUGGAAAAUCGAUACUCUGGAAUACUCCUAGGUGAAAGCUACAUCGGUAUCCGUGCGCUUGCGGAUUUUUCUGUUUGCGUUUAAAAUACCCAACAUUAUGCAUGUGAUUGAUGCAACCAUAACACUGGGGUGUUACACUCUUUACCUUAAUUUCCCAUGUGGCUUUUAGCUUCUCCAAAUUCUUGGGUGGUUGCAAGAUAGAACAGUUGUAACAGACUCACCAAUCAUUCAUCUUUUGAUAGACUACCAAUCCGAAGGUUUUUUUAUAAGUUUUGCAAAAUAAAUGAGUUCCUCGAAUGAUUCUCUCAAUCGCUCAAUGUGUAUGAAAUCCUUACCAAAGGCAUUAUGUGAUUGCCUUUAAACCUUACCACUAAGGCUAAGAGUGGAGUUUUGGGCAGGUAUAAAGGUGGGCGUACUUACGGCACUUGUAUUGCUGAGUCAAAACCCGGACCAUGAGGAGAUACAAAUCAUACACCUUGAUUGAGAUGUGCAAGUGUGUGGAGUAUGAGGAAUUGGUGGAAAUCCUAAUUCUAAAUAUUUUUGGUCACUCCUUUGCAUCAUGACUCUCUUUUAUUUGGAGGAUAAAAGAGAGAGGAAGAGGAAAACAUAUGGGCUCUAUCUCUUAAUAAUUUUUUUUCAUGACGGGGACUUUUGAUUUUUUCUUUCUUUCCUGUCUAUGCCUUUUUGGCUUUUCCCUUUGGAUAUUUUUUUUCAACUAUAGCCCAUAUGUCUUGAUGAAUGGAAUCAGAGAAAUUUAAAGAGAUGUCAUGAGGACAAAAAGUAAGGAGUGAAUUUGGGGAUGCGGAAAUCUCAGGAUGAGAGUUUGGCAUUUUUAUUUGGUGGAAAGCUAAGGCACAACUCUCAGAAUAAGAGUUGGCAAAAAUUUUUGGUGGAUGGAAGGUGCAUGUUGUGCGCGACUUCUCAGUGUAAGAGUCGGCUUUAUUUGGUGGGUGUAAGUGAAUCUCAAUCAUGGGUGCAUGACCAUAAUCUCACUCUAGGAUCUCAGAGAUUUGACCCGACUCAAAGUUCUGCAAGCCGCAUAUGACUAAAGGUUUUAAGAACUGAGUAACAAGUCAUCUGGCCUUGGUAGGUAUUUCAUAAUCAUUGAGGAACCCUUUGUUUUAAAUUUUUGAAAAGAAAACUCCGGAUGUCAAGUUUCUCUUAAGACAAAGUCAUAGCAAAAUCUAUUUGUACCAGAUCAUGUCUCGCAACAACUUAGAAAAGGAUCAUGCAUUCGCAACCCACAAGAUUUCAAGUUUUCAGAAUAGGACAUUUUUAGCCAACAAACUUAAAUCUUGAUCAAGACUAAGUUAUAACUUAGACAAUAAAGAAUUAUAGACAGAGCAACUAUUCAUCAUUUCAGCAGAAGAGCAACUAGCAUAUUAAAACACAUAUGAGAGAAGAUUUUUUUAUAUAUAUAAAGAAAAGAGUGC